This 199-nucleotide ribosomal RNA is filed under the name uncultured bacterium. RNAcentral's name for it is "partial 16S ribosomal RNA". It matches the Rfam family "Bacterial small subunit ribosomal RNA", at positions 328 to 539 of the family's 1533-position model. The record is from RNAcentral.
ACGCUCGACACCUACGGGAGGCCAGCAGUGGGGAAUAUUGCACAAUGGGGGAAACCCUGAUGCAGCAACGCCGCGUGAAGGAAGACGGUUUUCGGAUUGUAAACUUCUGUUCUUAGUGAAGAUAGUGACGGUAGCUAAGGAGCAAGCCACGGCUAACUACGUGCCAGCAGCCACGGUAAUCUGAGCGGGCUGGCAAGGC